RNAcentral lists this ribosomal RNA (528 nucleotides) under Alternaria chartarum. RNAcentral describes it as "eukaryotic LSU rRNA". The stretch from base 171 to 324 matches the Rfam family "5.8S ribosomal RNA". Lineage: Eukaryota; Fungi; Ascomycota; Dothideomycetes; Pleosporales; Pleosporaceae. The record is from RNAcentral.
AUUACACAAUAUGAAAGCGGGCUGGCAUCCUUCGGGGUUACAGCCUUGCUGAAUUAUUCACCCGUGUCUUUUGCGUACUUCUUGUUUCCUUGGUGGGUUCGCCCACCAUAGGACAAACCAUAAACCUUUUUGUAAUUGCAAUCAGCGUCAGUAAAAAAAUUAAUAAUUACAACUUUUAACAACGGAUCUCUUGGUUCUGGCAUCGAUGAAGAACGCAGCGAAAUGCGAUAAGUAGUGUGAAUUGCAGAAUUCAGUGAAUCAUCGAAUCUUUGAACGCACAUUGCGCCCUUUGGUAUUCCAAAGGGCAUGCCUGUUCGAGCGUCAUUUGUACCCUCAAGCUUUGCUUGGUGUUGGGCGUCUUGUCUCCAGUUCGCUGGAGACUCGCCUUAAAGUAAUUGGCAGCCGGCCUACUGGUUUCGGAGCGCAGCACAAGUCGCGCUCUCUUCCAGCCAAGGUCAGCAUCCACAAAGCCUUUUUUCAACUUUUGACCUCGGAUCAGGUAGGGAUACCCGCUGAACUUAAGCAUAU